UGAAUACGAGACGCUAAGGCGUCGAAGUAGUGUAUGUCAUACUUCCAAGAAAAGCUUGCACUGUCAUAAGUAAAAAAUGCCUGUACCAUAACCGACACAGGUGGGUAGGUAGAGUAUACUAAGGGGCGCGAGAUAACUCUCUCUAAGGAACUCGGCAAAAUAACUCCGUAACUUCGGGAGAAGGAGUACCUUAUUCUAUAAGGUUGCAAUAACAAGAUCCAAGCAACUGUUUAUCAAAAACACAGGUCUCCGCUAAGUCGUAAGACGAUGUAUGGGGGCUGACGCCUGCCCAGUGCCAGAAGGUUAAAGAAGUCGGUUAGCAUUAGCGAGGCUGGUAACUGAAGCCCUGGUGAACGGCGGCCGUAACCAUAACGGUCCUAAGGUAGCGAAAUUCCUUGUCGGGUAAGUUCCGACCCGCACGAAAGGCGUAAUGAUUUGGAUACUGUCUCGGAGAGGGGCUCGGUGAAAUAGACUUGUCUGUGAAGAUGCGGACUACCUGCACCAGGACAGAAAGACCCUAUGAAGCUUUACUGUAACUUGAAAUUGAAAUUGGACUUUAUUCGCGCAGUAUAGGUGGGAGGUGUUGAUUAUAAUCUUGCGGGAUUAUUGGAGCCAUCAGUGAGAUACCACUCUUGUAAUGUUAGAUUUCUAACUUUGAAUCAUUAUCUGGUCAAAGGACAGUUUCAGGCGGGCAGUUUGACUGGGGCGGUCGCCUCCCAAACGGUAACGGAGGCGUACAAAGGUUUCCUCUGAACGGGUAGAAAUCGUAUCUAGAGUGUAAAGGCAUAAGGAAGCUUGACUGUGAGACCUACAAGUCGAACAGGGACGAAAGUCGGUCUUAGUGAUCUGACGGUACUGAGUGGAAAGGCCGUCACUCAACGGAUAAAAGUUACUCUAAGGAUAACAGGCUGAUCUCCCCCAAGAGUUCACAUCGACGGGGAGGUUUGGCACCUCGAUGUCGGCUCAUCGCAUCCUGGGGCGGUAGUACGUCCCAAGGGUUGGGCUGUUCGCCCAUGAAAGCGGUACGCGAGCUGGGUUCAGAACGUCGUGAGACAGUUCGGUCCAUAUCCGGUGUAGGCGUUAGAAUAUUGAGAGGAGCCUUCUUUAGUACGAGAGGACCGAGAAGGACAUACCUCUGGUGUACCAGUUAUCGUGCCAACGGUAAACGCUGGGUAGCUAUGUAUGGAGUGGAUAACCGCUGAAAGCAUCUAAGUGGGAAGCCCACCUCAAGAUAAG
Molecule: ribosomal RNA, 1236 nt
Filed under: metagenome
Description: bacterial LSU rRNA
Rfam family: Bacterial large subunit ribosomal RNA
Source: RNAcentral